CACUGAUCCUCAGGCCCUUACGGUCUCUCUGCCCCGUCUUCUGUGAUAUCCCCAGAGCCUUUACAGUGCCAAUUAUGUUGAAGAUGCAUCAAUUGGGGUUCAAAAGCCUAAGGACAGUUUAUCUCUGCACACUGACCAGUUGUGAAUCCCUGUGGUGGUCUCUGACUGCUGCAAAAAGAAGAUUUUCUGGACCUGAGCUCUGCUGAAGGAGGCAUCACCUGGGUCGAAGGCCGGCAUUAACUUUAGAGCCAAGAACACACACCGUAAAGCUGGUGCACUGACUCGGUGUCUCUCCAGCUCAGCGGUUCUCCAGGGUGACUUCGCACCUUGGAUUUGUCCCCUCAUCCACAGAGACGUUUGGCCCCAUCUAAAGGCUGCUGGAUGGAAUCGAGGCAGCUGCCUGGCUCAUAAGCUGAAUGGAAGCUGGGAGCAAGAAUGGAGCGCUGAACACAGCUCCUUGCUGAGCGCAGAGAGCAGCUGCAGACUUCUGUGUCCACUUCAAUCAUGCUCAGGCCAGCAGUUUUUCUCCAUACUGUGCUCUGUCUGUCUUUGGUCAUCUAUGCAGUUUGAAAGUUAACUAAGGCAGGACCCACUCUCCCUCGGGGAAGCACGUCUCUCCUAAGAGCCCAUUUCCUCGAUGGCAUCGGAGCCUGCUAUUUGGAACUCCAGCACAUACUGAAGAUAAGACAUCCAGCCUCUUGAACAACUACUGGAUUCUCGACUCUUCCGUUGGUAGACAGUCAUUGUUGGCCUAGCUGUGUCAAAGACUAUAAGUCAUUAUAAUAAAUUCCAUAUACAGUCGUU
Molecule: small RNA, 804 nt
Filed under: Rattus norvegicus (Norway rat)
Lineage: Eukaryota; Metazoa; Chordata; Mammalia; Rodentia; Muridae
Description: uncharacterized LOC102550429
Source: RNAcentral